GUAUCGGAAGUGCGAAUGCUGACAUGAGUAACGAUAAUGGGGGUGAAAAGCCCCCACGCCGAAAGCCCAAGGUUUCCUCGCGCAACGUUCAUCGGCGCAGGGUGAGUCGGCCCCUAAGGCGAGGCAGAAAUGCGUAGUCGAUGGGAAGCAGGUUAAUAUUCCUGCACUUUUCUUAAGUGCGAUGUGGGGACGGAGAAGGUUAGGUCUACCGGGCGUUGGUUGUCCCGGGGAAAGGCGGUAGGCAUGGGUCUUAGGCAAAUCCGGGACCCUUUAUGCCGAGCACCGAGACGAGUCCUAUGGGACGAAGUGACUGACACCACGCUUCCAGGAAAAGCCACUAAGCUUCAGCUUAAGAAAAACCGUACCGUAAACCGACACUGGUAGGCAGGGUGAGAAUCCCAAGGCGCUUGAGAGAACUCGGGUGAAGGAACUAGGCAAAAUGGCACCGUAACUUCGGGAGAAGGUGCGCCCUUUGACGUGGUCACAUGCGUGACUGAGCGUUGAAGGGUCGCAGUAACCUGGCCGCUGCGACUGUUUAUCAAAAACACAGCACUCUGCAAACACGAAAGUGGACGUAUAGGGUGUGACGCCUGCCCGGUGCUGGAAGGUUAAUUGAUGGGGUCAGCCGCAAGGCGAAGCUCUUGAUCGAAGCCCCAGUAAACGGCGGCCGUAACGAUAACGGUCCUAAGGUAGCGAAAUUCCUUGUCGGGUAAGUUCCGACCUGCACGAAUGGCGUAACGACAGCGGCGCUGUCUCCACCCGAGACUCAGUGAAAUUGAAUUCGCUGUGAAGAUGCAGCGUUCCCGCGGCAAGACGGAAAGACCCCGUGAACCUUUACUAUAGCUUUACACUGAACGUUGAGUUCUUCUGUGUAGGAUAGGUGGGAGGCUUUGAAGCGCAGACGCCAGUUUGCGUGGAGCCAACCUUGAAAUACCACCCUGAAGUGCUUGACGUUCUAACCUCGGCCCGUAAUCCGGGUCAGGGACCGUGUAUGGUGGGUAGUUUGACUGGGGCGGUCUCCUCCCAAAGAGUAACGGAGGAGCACGAAGGUACGCUCAGCGCGGUCGGACAUCGCGCACUGUGUGCAAUGGCAUAAGCGUGCUUGACUGCGAGAUCGACGGAUCAAGCAGGUACGAAAGUAGGUCAUAGUGAUCCGGUGGUUCUGUAUGGAAGGGCCAUCGCUCAACGGAUAAAAGGUACUCCGGGGAUAACAGGCUGAUACCGCCCAAGAGUUCAUAUCGACGGCGGUGUUUGGCACCUCGAUGUCGGCUCAUCACAUCCUGGGGCUGUAGCCGGUCCCAAGGGUAUGGCUGUUCGCCAUUUAAAGUGGUACGCGAGCUGGGUUCAGAACGUCGUGAGACAGUUCGGUCCCUAUCUGUCGUGGGCGUUGGAGAUUUGAGGGGGGCUGCUCCUAGUACGAGAGGACCGGAGUGGACGUUCCGCUGGUGUUCGGGUUGUCAUGCCCAUGGCAUUGCCCGGUAGCUAUGAACGGAAGUGAUAACCGCUGAAAGCAUCUAAGCGGGAAGCACGCCCCAAGAUGAGAUCUCCCGAGAGCUUGACUCUCCUAAAGGCACCAUCAAGACCAGGUGGUUGAUAGGUCAGGUGUGGAAGCGCAGCAAUGCGUUGAGCUAACUGAUACUAAUGAGCCGUGCGGCUUGACC
This 1661-nucleotide ribosomal RNA is filed under the name metagenome. RNAcentral describes it as "bacterial LSU rRNA". It matches the Rfam family "Bacterial large subunit ribosomal RNA", at positions 1279 to 2925 of the family's 2925-position model. The record is from RNAcentral.